GAUGAAGAACGCAGCGAAAUGCGAUACGUAAUGUGAAUUGCAAAUUCAGUGAAUCAUCGAGUCUUUGAACGCACAUUGCGCCCCCUGGUAUUCCGGGAGGCAUGCCUGUUCGAGCGUCACUAAAAUCAACUCAAGCGCUUUUGCAUGGUCAUGGAGGAAGAGUCCGUCUUGUUGCGGUCUCCCCGCCGAAAAUCAACGGCGGAAAGUCACUGGUACCCGGCGUAGUAGAAUCUGUUCGCUGUUCGGCCAGUGUCGUUCCUGCCGGCAAACCCCCCACAAUUCUCUUGAUUGACCUCGGAUCAGGUAGGGAUACCCGCUGAACUUAAGCAUAUCAAUAAGCGGAGGA
RNAcentral lists this unclassified non-coding RNA (346 nucleotides) under soil metagenome. RNAcentral's name for it is "partial contains 5.8S ribosomal RNA, internal transcribed spacer 2, and large subunit ribosomal RNA". The stretch from base 1 to 119 matches the Rfam family "5.8S ribosomal RNA", at positions 35 to 154 of the family's 154-position model. The record is from RNAcentral.